Molecule: non-coding RNA, 2294 nt
Organism: Peromyscus maniculatus bairdii (prairie deer mouse)
Lineage: Eukaryota; Metazoa; Chordata; Mammalia; Rodentia; Cricetidae
Source: RefSeq, a predicted model, not a curated record
GGGAAACCUCUGACAUUUCAGAAUCACACCAGUGAUUGGAAACAGCUCAGCAACGCCUGAAUGGCAGUUAAUCCUGAAGGGUCCCUGGAGGCUGCUUGUUGAUGGGUUAGAAAAAAGGAAGGGACAGGAAGUGCAGCACAGUGCCCAAAGUCACAGUGAGAAGCCGGAGAGCUGUGUGGGACAGACCAUCUGGGGCACUGGUACCCACGGCACUGGCUAUAUCCAAUGUUUUCAGUGAAGCCUAGGCCACCAAAGGAGCCCCAUAUCUGCCACCUUCUGUGAGUGUCACCUGCAGACAGAGCAGCUGGAGUGGUCACGUGGUAUCCAGUUCCUGGCUUCUAUCAGGUCCUCAAUAAAUGGUAUCUCGUAGAGCCAUACUACCCCGAGGAAAGAGGAAUUUCAUUUCCUAGCUUUUCAGUAGAAGGGAUCUUCUAGAAGUUGAGUCAGCAGGCUUUGAUUCUUGGGAGCGACCGAAGGCAUUUUGGCCUUGGAGGACUCGCUUUCUCCUGACCAGGAGUCCCUGAGUCAGUUGGCUCCUAGGUAGUGAGCUGGAGAACAGAUGUUCCAGGAUGCUCCAGCUGGUCUUUUCUGUGGGCCUGAGACUAUGAACAGUCGAAACCAGGUAAGAUUGCCAAUGCUGGUGCUGGUGCUGCCCUGGAGGAUCGAAAAGGACCCUGGAAGUGUGCGUGAGGGGAUGGAAGGGUGGGGGGUGGGUCUCUGGUGUGCUUGAAGCCAGUCUCUGAAUGUCAACUGAAGACAGUGCUCUGAUACUUGUUCCCUGCCUCUCCUAGGCUAGCCAUGCCCCAGAGAAGACAUGCUGUCUCCUUCCACCAAAAGAGAGCUGCCACCCCUCAAGGACAUGCAGCUUUUGCUGGUCUGAGGAAGGGAAGUUUACACCAACCGUGCAUGGAAGGCCUGCUUUACUGACGAAGGAACUGAGGCAAGGAGGCGGACAGCUUCUCAGGGGGAAACAGAAAAGACAGACGCACAGAAAAUGAUGCCUGGGUUUGGUAGCGCCCCAUCACGCCCCUGUCCUGAGCGCGGAGCAUUUGGCAUCGCAGCUGAUCACAAGAGAUACCGCCUCCAAACAGAGAGCCAGCCUCCCGCAUUCACAGAGAGAGGAGGUCACAGAGACCGGGCCACUGACCUGCUGGCCUCUCACUCACUGGUCUGAUCACGUGCAGCUCCCAGGGGACCCCAUUGUCUACAGGGACAAGCUGGGGUUCAUUUGGGAAACGGUCCCUGGGAAUGGAAAAGGAGACUUCAACCAUGGAGUUACACUUUUGUGUUAAUACAACUGUGUUUUGUUUGGGGGGUUUUGUCCUUUUUCAAAUAACACUACACAGAGAACCCUAAGAAAGUCCCCAGGCUUCAGCAGACAGACGCAUCGUUUCUUUUUAUUCUAUCACUCUGGGGGGAAAGAGUAAAAAAGAGAGAGAAAAGAAAGAAAAGCAAGGAGAAAGAAGCCUCCAGAGCCCCCUCCCCAGUCCUUCCCACCAGCCACGUGGGUUUGCACAAUUAAAUCUCAAUAGCUCCUUCCUGGGCUUUGUGAGGGCUGUGACUGCCCCAUAAGGAGGGUCCCUGUGGCGUGCAGAGCAACUUGGCUCUCCACAGCCGUCUCUUGGGUCACACUGUCCCCGGCAGCUCCUUCCGGCCAGCCGCACCUACCCACACAGACUCCUUCCAGGUCUGAGUUGUUCCCAGCAGCAGGGGAGCCCCCUGCCUGGCAGGAAGUGACUUGGGCUCCAGCCAUGAAAAAAACCUGUCUGGCCAUGAAGGACGCCAAGGAAACUGACUGCCGGCUUCACUCGCCUGGUUUUGUGCUUGAGUUCACUGCGAGGGCUAAAUCGGUUUAAAGCAGGAGCAGGGAAUUCCUCUCCAAUUACGGAUCCAAUAGGAACUGUGUACAUUCUAAAAAUGUAGUAUUUUCCAUCUACGAAAUCCUAAAUUUCUAAUUACCUCUUAACAAAAUUGCAAGUGCAGGACUCAGUAACAGAGCAUCUUAAAGCCGAAGUGCUGUGUGAGCAGAAUCCAGAUAAGUCGGGGAGAGGCAAGGCUCCCCAUCUCUCCCCUUCCACGUCCUCAUUUCCUCUAGGUGCCCAGGACCACCUCCGACCCCUCCCACUCAUCAGCGACUCUCUCUCUGGAGAAUUUGCCUAGUCCUACCACCUCCACAGCGUCUCUCUGUCCCCGCCUCGUUGUCGCUCUCUCCCUGUCUGUCAUUUUUUGUCGUGUUCUCUAAUGUGGUAUUUUGCCAGUUGGGUUAAGCUGCCCACGCAUCCCCUCAGGCAGUG